This 427-nucleotide ribosomal RNA is filed under the name uncultured bacterium. RNAcentral's name for it is "bacterial SSU rRNA". It matches the Rfam family "Bacterial small subunit ribosomal RNA", at positions 917 to 1350 of the family's 1533-position model. The record is from RNAcentral.
GGGCCCGCACAAGCGGUGGAGUAUGUGGUUUAAUUCGAUGCAACGCGAAGAACCUUACCAGGGUUUGACAUCCUGCGAAUCUCUUGGAAACGAGAGAGUGCCUUCGGGAACGCAGUGACAGGUGGUGCAUGGCUGUCGUCAGCUCGUGUCGUGAGAUGUUGGGUUAAGUCCCGCAACGAGCGCAACCCUUGUCAUUAGUUGCUACGCAAGGGCACUCUAAUGAGACUGCCGGUGACAAACCGGAGGAAGGUGGGGACGACGUCAAGUCCUCAUGGCCCUUAUGGGUAGGGCUUCACACGUCAUACAAUGGUUGGUACAGAGGGUUGCGAACCCGCGAGGGGGAGCUAAUCCCAAAAAACCAAUCGUAGUCCGGAUUGCAGUCUGCAACUCGACUGCAUGAAGUCGGAAUCGCUAGUAAUCGCGGAUC